AUACUGAGGGUGCGAGCGUUAAUCGGAAUUACUGGGCGUAAAGCGCGCGUAGGCGGUAAGUUAAGUUGGAUGUGAAAUCCCUGGGCUCAACCCAGGAACUGCAUUCAAAACUGGCUCACUAGAGGAUGGUAGAGGCAAGUGGAAUUCCAGGUGUAGCGGUGAAAUGCGUAGAUAUCUGGAGGAACAUCAGUGGCGAAGGCGACUUGCUGGGCCAAUACUGACGCUGAGGUGCGAAAGCGUGGGUAGCAAACGGGAUUAGAAACCCUAGUAGUCC
Molecule: ribosomal RNA, 274 nt
Filed under: uncultured bacterium
Lineage: Bacteria
Description: partial 16S ribosomal RNA
Rfam family: Bacterial small subunit ribosomal RNA
Source: RNAcentral